AAUAUUGCACAAUGGGCGCAAGCCUGAUGCAGCCAUGCCGCGUGUAUGAAGAAGGCCUUCGGGUUGUAAAGUACUUUCAGCAGUGAGGAAGGUGGGUAUGUUAAUAGCAUAUCAUUUGACGUUAGCUGCAGAAGAAGCACCGGCUAACUCCGUGCCAGCAGCCGCGGUAAUACGGAGGGUGCGAGCGUUAAUCGGAAUUACUGGGCGUAAAGCGCAUGCAGGUGGUUUGUUAAGUCAGAUGUGAAAGCCCGGGGCUCAACCUCGGAAUUGCAUUUGAAACUGGCAAACUAGAGUACUGUAGAGGGGGUAGAAUUUCAGGUGUAGCGGUGAAAUGCGUAGAGAUCUGAAGGAAUACCGGUGGCGAAGGCGGCCCCCUGGACAGAUACUGACACUCAGAUGCGAAAGCGUGGGGAGCAAACAGGAUUAGAUACCCUGGUAG
Molecule: ribosomal RNA, 439 nt
Filed under: uncultured bacterium
Lineage: Bacteria
Description: bacterial SSU rRNA
Rfam family: Bacterial small subunit ribosomal RNA
Source: RNAcentral